Molecule: transfer RNA, 72 nt
Filed under: Actinoplanes philippinensis
Lineage: Bacteria; Bacillati; Actinomycetota; Actinomycetes; Micromonosporales; Micromonosporaceae
Rfam family: tRNA
About the family: Transfer RNA (tRNA) molecules are approximately 80 nucleotides in length. Their secondary structure includes four short double-helical elements and three loops (D, anti-codon, and T loops).
Source: Rfam by way of RNAcentral
UGGGGGUUCGGCUAAUCGGCAGGCCACCGAGCUUUGACCUCGGCUGUGCAGGUUCGAGCCCUGCACCCCCAG